This 973-nucleotide long non-coding RNA is filed under the name Brachypodium distachyon (stiff brome). RNAcentral describes it as "long non-coding RNA (BDIS_LNC004641)". The record is from RNAcentral. Lineage: Eukaryota; Viridiplantae; Streptophyta; Magnoliopsida; Poales; Poaceae.
ACCAACAUCCUACGAACUACCUCUACUUGGUCAUCUUCAUGUCCGGGGGAAUCCAGAAGCCAAACCAGGGUGUACGCAGCCGGAAGCAACAAGAUUUUUAACCGAUGAUUUGCAAUGUGAGAAAAAGCAGAGAAUUUGGAUUAUAACAAUUCUAAAAAAAAUAGGGAGUCACAUAUUUUGGUUUCACAUAUUGCAUCAAUUCCAAUCUGUUUAAUUUUCAGUCCAACAUGGAAUCGAGUAAAUCAAAAUUCCAAAUCCAGAUCCCAAGUCAAAAUUUGGUCCGAAAUACGAAGCUACAAAUAAUUGAUGAACGAAGAAUUGUACAACCUAAAUCAAAGCCAGAUCUGGAGGCAGAAAUUCCCUCGUUGCUUCGAAGCGAAAUAAAAAAGCUAAAUCAAGCAAUAACUCUUUCUUUGCUGCUCCCGUGCAUGAUUCUCUCCGGACGACCAGCCGUUAUCUGAUCCGAGCACUUCACGAGGCCAGCCACCGGAUCUUCGAAGGUGGGGAGUAGGAGGGCCCGCGGCAGCCCGGCGUCUCCCCUCAACUACUCCGCCUCAGGAGGCUCGUGCGCGUCCACCUGCGGCGGCAAGGACGGCGCCUUCUCGUCGCCGUCGCCUGCUGCUGCUCCGUCGGCGGCGCUCGCCUCCACGGUAGGCGACAGGAUCUUCCAGGGAGGCAGCGGAAUCCGGGCGUGCCGGCGGAUGGCGUCAGGCUAGAUCCGGCCGGAUGGAGGCCUUCGGAGGCUGGCGCUGCCGAGAUCGUAUGUGGCGGCGAUGUCGACUAGAUCGGUCAGAGAUGGGGAUUAGGGAAGAGGGGUGGUUGGGUGAGAGAGGUGAUCGGGAGAUAUUUUCACGGGGCGAGUGGGGCACGUCCAUGAAGCUGUUUGUUUUUUGGGUUGGUCGAAGUCUCCAUUCGAAAUGGCCCAUGUUCUACCCAUACCAAAAUCCAAACAUGUGCUGGCCCAGGUUCACAC